GGGAUCGAAGAUGAUUAGAUACCAUCGUAGUCUUAACCGUCAACUAUGCCGACUUGCGAUUGUCCGAUGUUUAUUAUAGACUUGGGCAGCAGCACAUGAGAAAUCAAAGUUUUUGGGUUCCGGGGGGAGUAUGUUCGCAAGAAUGAAACUUAAAGGAAUUGACGGAAGGGCACACCAGGAGUGGAGCCUGCGGCUUAAUUUGACUCAACACGGGAAAACUCACCAGGUCCAGACAAAGUAAGGAUUGACAGAUUGAGAGCUCUUUCUUGAUUCUUUGGGUGGUGGUGCAUGGCCGUUCUUAGUUGGUGGAGUGAUUUGUCUGGUUAAUUCCGAUAACGAACGAGACCCCAACCUGCUAACUAGGACAGGCUAUGGUAACAUAGUUUGAGCCUUCUUAGAGGGACAUUUCGGGUUUACCGGAAGGAAGUUCGAG
RNAcentral lists this ribosomal RNA (433 nucleotides) under Thraustochytriidae sp. Its description in RNAcentral is "SSU rRNA". It matches the Rfam family "Eukaryotic small subunit ribosomal RNA", at positions 994 to 1449 of the family's 1831-position model. The record is from RNAcentral. Lineage: Eukaryota; Bigyra; Thraustochytrida; Thraustochytriidae.